RNAcentral lists this unclassified non-coding RNA (520 nucleotides) under uncultured Glomus. Its description in RNAcentral is "SSU rRNA". It matches the Rfam family "Eukaryotic small subunit ribosomal RNA", at positions 569 to 1090 of the family's 1831-position model. The record is from RNAcentral. Lineage: Eukaryota; Fungi; Glomeromycota; Glomeromycetes; Glomerales; Glomeraceae.
CGCAGCCGCGGUAAUUCCAGCUCCAAUAGCGUAUAUUAAAGUUGUUGCAGUUAAAAAGCUCGUAGUUGAAUUUCGGGAUCAAUUAAUUGGUCGUGCCUCUGGUACGUACUGAUUUUAUUGGUUUCUCCCUUCUGACGAACCAUGAUGUCAUUAAUUUGGUGUCGUGGAGAAUCAGGACUGUUACUUUGAAAAAAUUAGAGUGUUUAAAGCAAGCUAACGCUUGAAUACAUUAGCAUGGAAUAAUGAAAUAGGACGUUUGAUCCUAUUUUGUUGGUUUCUAGGAUCGACGUAAUGAUUAAUAGGGAUAGUUGGGGGCAUUAGUAUUCAAUUGUCAGAGGUGAAAUUCUUGGAUUUAUUGAAGACUAACUACUGCGAAAGCAUUUGCCAAGGAUGUUUUCAUUAAUCAAGAACGAAAGUUAGGGGAUCGAAGACGAUCAGAUACCGUCGUAGUCUUAACCAUAAACUAUGCCGACUAGGGAUCGGAUGAUGUUAAUUUUUUAAUGACUCAUUCGGCGCCUUA